This 232-nucleotide long non-coding RNA is filed under the name Elaeis guineensis (African oil palm). Its description in RNAcentral is "long non-coding RNA (EGUI_LNC010862)". The record is from RNAcentral. Lineage: Eukaryota; Viridiplantae; Streptophyta; Magnoliopsida; Arecales; Arecaceae.
CCCUCCUCACCUGUCUCCUCCUUCCUCACCUCCUCCACCUUUUUUUUACGGUGUGGAUUCACCCCACCACCAUUGCCACCUCCUCCACCGAACUCACCCUACACUGCCACCACUUUCUCUCUAUCUUUUCCGUCGCCGCCACCACUAGCCUCCCCUCCUCACCCAUUUCUUCCUUCACCUUCGGACUCUACCAACCAUUGCGCUAUCCCCUUCUCCAUCGAACUCACCCCGC